GUCCUCCGCAUUGGAUCUUCGAUUGCGGUCGGGUCUGGCACUGCCAUGUUGUUUUGGUUCGAUCGCUGGGCUAGGGACAACCCCUUCGCGGCUUUCCCUGACCUGUUCUCCAUCGUGGUUGACCCGCGGAUUUCUAUCGCGACGGCCCUUAUUGACUUAGGGCAACUCGCGUUCCGGCGUCAAUUUGGACCGGUGGAGAAUGCGGCUUGGCAUGACUUACUCGAUUGCAUCGCGCUGCAUGAACUUGAGCUAGAGAAGGAAGAUGACUGCACCAGGUGGCGACUAGAGCCAUCUGGUCUAUUCUCUACUAAAUCGCUCUACCAGGCGAUCGCCCCCUCUCUGCGUCCUGAGGCUCUUACCUCCAUCUAGGAGAUUCAUCUCCCCUUGAAAAUUAGGAUAUUCCUGUGGCAAUGGAUUCGCGGCCGUCUCCCUUCUGGUGUGGAGGUCCUAAAGCGCAAUGGUCCCGGCGAUGGUCAUUGCCCGCUCUGUGGGCUUGAAGAGGAUUCGAACCAUAUCUUCUACACCUGCGUGUCCGCACAAUUCCUAUGGAGUUGUUUCCGCGAAAUAGCUGGUGGGAGUUGGGACCACAACAACUUCCACGAUCUUUUCGCCGAACUCCAGGCACUAACACCCCCGUCCCGUCACCUUAGAUGGCUGACUAUCAGUGUGCUUACCUGGACGUUGUGGACUAUUAGGAAUAAGCUUGUGAUUCAGCAUAUACCUCUUCGUCGUGCUACUGACACUUUGUUCAAAUGGUCUGGUUACCUGCAGCUUUGGCGGCCGCUUAGCCGCCCCAGGGAGAGAGACGGCAUCACCUCCAUCAUCACCCAGCUUCAUGUGAUGGCUCUCCGGAUGGCUCCGCCUCUUCCCCCUCCACCGCCUGAGCCGGAUUAG
RNAcentral lists this ribosomal RNA (894 nucleotides) under Triticum aestivum (bread wheat). RNAcentral describes it as "partial small subunit ribosomal RNA". The record is from RNAcentral. Lineage: Eukaryota; Viridiplantae; Streptophyta; Magnoliopsida; Poales; Poaceae.